ACCAAGAUGCUGGGUAUCGUAUAUUCCUUGUUAUUCAUCUCUUCAGUAAUAGCUUCAAAAGAACAAUGUUGUGUUCACCAAAAGUUUUCUGCGAUCAUGGCGGAACCCGGUUUAAUUGCCAGAGGAACAAAUCAAUUCACUAAAUUGGCGGAAGAUUUUGAAGCAAAACGUUUGGCAACUCAUACAUUUAAUUUUGUACCUGGUACCAGUAGUACAUCAUUGCAUCGAGUCGUACAAGACUUCAAUCAGUUAAAGCAGUAUACCAUUUACGAUAGCACCUGUACUGUGAAGAAUAUAGAAUAUGAGAUGCAGGGACCAUGCAUACCAGGAGAUGCCGUCGUUUUGGGAUCAAGUAAAAUGGGGUUUCAAUCAGAUACCAUCAACAUUACAUCAUAUAGCUGGUCAUUUGCCAACCAAAAUGCUACUUUGGUUAUGAUUUUCACUGAUGAUUGUGUUCCGUUGGUGCAAGCUAUAGGAGGAACUUUAAAUGGAGCACCCGUUGACACUACUUAUGUGUUUACUCAGUACAGCGAUACAAUUGAGGACAUGUCCAUAUUCGAUAUUCCAGCUAACUGCCUUUCUCCUUCCUCUUAAACAGACGAG
Molecule: long non-coding RNA, 603 nt
Organism: Patella vulgata (common limpet)
Lineage: Eukaryota; Metazoa; Mollusca; Gastropoda; Patellidae
Exons: 5
Source: RefSeq, a predicted model, not a curated record